This 72-nucleotide transfer RNA is filed under the name Phycosecis limbata. Its description in RNAcentral is "tRNA-Lys". Lineage: Eukaryota; Metazoa; Arthropoda; Insecta; Coleoptera; Phycosecidae. The record is from RNAcentral.
CAUUAGAUAACUUAAAAGCAAGUACUGGUCUCUUAAACCAUAAAAUAGUAAAUUCGUGAUUACUUCUAAUGA